Molecule: non-coding RNA, 140 nt
Organism: Trichinella pseudospiralis
Lineage: Eukaryota; Metazoa; Nematoda; Enoplea; Trichinellida; Trichinellidae
Source: Rfam
AGCUUUGCGCAGAGGCGAUACCGUAGCCAGUGAGGUUCUACCGAGGUGCGGUUAUUGCUGGUUGAAAACUUUAACCAAUUCCCCGCCUUAAAAGUCUGAAAAAUGGCUUUUAAUGGCAAUUUUUGAAAGCCCGCAAGGGC